AGUGAACGCUGGCGGUAGGCCUAACACAUGCCAGUCGAACGGCAGCACAUUAAGAGCUUGCUCUUACGGGUGGCGAGUGGCGGACGGGUUAGGAAUACAUCUGAAUCUACUUUUUCGUGGGGGAUAACGUAGGGAAACUUACGCUAAUACCGCAUACGACCUACGGGUGAAAGCAGGUGAUCUUCGGACCUUGCGCGAUUGAAUGAGCCGAUGUCGGAUUAGCUAGUUGGCGGGGUAAAGGCCCACCAAGGCGACGAUCCGUAGCUGGUCUGAGAGGAUGAUCAGCCACACUGGAACUGAGACACGGUCCAGACUCCUACGGGAGGCAGCAGUGGGGAAUAUUGGACAAUGGGCGCAAGCCUGAUCCAGCCAUACCGCGUGGGUGAAGAAGGCCUUCGGGUUGUAAAGCCCUUUUGUUGGGAAAGAAAAGCAGCAGGUUAAUACCCCGCUGUUCUGACGGUACCCAAAGAAUAAGCACCGGCUAACUUCGUG
This 492-nucleotide ribosomal RNA is filed under the name uncultured bacterium. Its description in RNAcentral is "partial 16S ribosomal RNA". It matches the Rfam family "Bacterial small subunit ribosomal RNA", at positions 29 to 507 of the family's 1533-position model. The record is from RNAcentral.